Molecule: long non-coding RNA, 743 nt
Organism: Mirounga angustirostris (Northern elephant seal)
Lineage: Eukaryota; Metazoa; Chordata; Mammalia; Carnivora; Phocidae
Exons: 3
Source: RefSeq, a predicted model, not a curated record
CUUGGCUCCAUUUUGAGUGGGGCCAGAACCCUCCCAGCCUUCCUCCUCCUCCGGGUAAAUGAGGAGUUAAGCACCCCCACUCCCACCCCGGCACCAACACACACACACCCCCACACACCCUCCCUCCUCCUCCUCCACACACACACACACACCCACACCCACACACCCUCCCUCCUCCUCCUCCUCCACCCCCUCCUCUCCCUCCGCGCCUUCUUGUCCUAUGAGAGGAGGUGAACUCAGUGACUGCAAACUGCAAAACUAAUGGGUGGCGGCGGGGGCGGGCUUCGGCCAGGGAAGGGGUGGAGUACUCACAGCAGCUCCUGUUCUUUGAGCACGUUCAGCGGGCUAGGCUGUUCUGCACGGUCUCCGAAACGUUUAUUCUUCGCCCUGUAAGGAGAGCUCUGUUAUUAUCCCCAGGUAUCAGCAACAUGUGUGGGAACAAAGAGCCACAGUUGAUUCAAACGUGUUCCGUUGGUAUGUCGGGAAAGCCUUCACAGGAGCUGACGUCUGACCCAGGGGUGCCUGGGUGGCUCAGUCCUUAGGUGUCUGUCUGCCUUCGGCUCGGGUCAUGAUCCCAGGGUCCUGGGAUCAAGCCCUGCGCGCGAGCCCCGCAUCGAGCCCUGCAUCGGGGCUCCCUGCUCAGCGAGAAGCCUGCUUCUCCCUCUCCCACUCCCCCUGCUUGUGUUCCCUCUCUCGCUGUCCCUCUCUCUGUGUCAAAUCAAUAAAUAAAAUCUUUUUAAAAA